AUGGAUUAAGAACUGCGCAAUUUCCUAAUGGCCAUCGCUGGGAUCCUAGUGUCCUCCUAAAAAUAAAGAACGCGUAUUUGGAAUGAACAUGCUUGUGGCAAACCUGUGCGCGGUGCACGCAGCUACGACGUAUGUGGAUUGGCGAUUUUGAAAAGGGAUGUUCAGUUCUUAGUUCUGAGAGGGCUGUACACUCAUUUUGGAGGACGAUAUGACUGUGCAAGAUAUAUAAUUACUGGUCGGGUUUUCGAAUAUGUAACAAGAAGAGUCUGUUCGUAAUGCCAGGCCAGUGGGUGAUUCUCUAAACGCUCGAAUCUCUCCCAAGCAAGGAUUUUAUUAUGUAUCUGCGUGUAGUUUCUCCAAACCGAUAUUUUCAAAUGCAUUAUGGAUUUUUGGAACAUUAUUCACCUAUUACUUAAUUUUGUGAACGUUUUCGGAGGGCUGCGUGGCUGAACUAACGACAUUUGGGGGCAAAGAAGCUACGUAGCCGUUUUUUUUUAACGUUACAGUAUUUUAACAAUGAGGGCAGCAACGGCACCUCCCAUGAGAAAUCUGCAUGCACAAACAGCAUGGAGACCUACCAUGGCACAGCCUCGGUAUGCUGCCAGCCUGGUGUCACCUGAACGGACAUUAGAGAUGUGAACCUGCAGUUGGCAUCAUGGUCAGGGCUUUGCAGCAACAGCGGGGAGCCAUUCAAAAUGGGGUGUGGAAAAGGGCGGCAGUCUGGUCGGCGGGAGCGUGCAGUUGUCCAGGACCAUGAAUCCUUAACCAGACUGGAGGAUACAGACAGAGAGAGGAGAGAGAGCAACAGAGAAGGAGAUGACUUCAUCCACUGUGCCCACUUGCUGAAGACAUGGGCACGCCGCGGGUGAUGGGAUCAGCUACAUUAAUGAGAGACAGUAAAGAGAGAGAGGGACUAAAGAGAGAGAGAGAGUGAAAAAAGAAAAUGAAAAAACAGUGAGAGAGGAGUAUACAUAUAUCUGCUCGGUGAUUGGCAUGGUGGCAUAAAUUUUAGCGACAUCCUCCCUGGCACCCCUGUGCCUCGCUCCGAAACACUCAGACCUAUUUUUACACCAACUGUUACUUCAGUUUAAACAUGCUGUUUGUGUGUGUGUGUGUGUGUGUGUGCACCUGUGUAAAAUACCUUUCCCAUGUUGUGAGAGACCAUACAAGAUGGUGUCUGAUAAGUGUGUGUCUUCCUGUGUGUGUGUGUGUAGAGAGAGGUGGGGUAAGAGAGGAGAGGAGGACACAGGUGUCUCAACACUACAACUCUAUAGGGGGCUAGUGAGGGGUGAAAAGAGGCAGAAGCUGAUUAGUUAGUAAGUUACAUGUCUUGGUAAGAGAUCGGGGUGUUGCUGAACAAUGUUUUGUGUUCAGGGAUAGAGAUCUUCAAGGUGCUACACCAGCGUUUCUGUUCUUAAAAUGUGGCGCUGGACAUUUGACCGGCAGCAUUGGGUGUGAAACCUGAUUAGAGAGUCUAACUCAAUGUGUUCAGAUUGACAGAAAUCACAUUUAGAUGAUGGUAAUUCAUCUUAACAGAAUAUGCAUGUCGAGGAUGCAAGGAUGUGUGUCCUGACCGCGCACUUUGAAGAUACUAGAAUAACUGUCCCCAUUGACUUUUCCCUCAGCCAGCAAGAGCAGCAAAAUCACUAGCCAUUGCAUAGACUGAGCGUGAGUUUUCAAGUUUGGGGAAACAAAUGUCCCCCAUAAAAAUGCACCUUUAUAAGAAAACAUUCCAUGCAUCAUCGCAUUUGCAGACUUAUGUAAGAUGGCUUACUAUUUGUGAUGUGAUCAGUAGACUGGCGAGUCAUAAUUUAUGCUAAUAGUAUAUUUAAAUCACUGUUCACAAAAAAGACUGUUCAAUGCAUGGCUGAGCGUGUAUAGUGUAGAGGACUGGGCUAUAGGUGCGGGAAAAGCACAUUUCAUGCAAUUCUACCACACUUUAAAUGACUGGAGACAUUAGUUGUCCUAUGAGAAAGGGAGACACAAAUAGAAUAUGACGUCCAUCUAAAAUGGAGGAGGAAAUUACUGUCCAAAAACGAACUACUAAGUGGCACUGACCUAGCAAUGACAAAAUGUGAAUAUGCGCAGGGCGCAUUCACUGGGGAUAUGGCUGAUGGUCUCUGCUGGUGCCAGUAAGGUAGGCUAUAGGCCUUCUGUUCGCUCAAUUCAUUUGAGGGUUUUGAUAACUAAAAGGCUGAUUAGAGUCUCUUCAUUAUCUACUCUUUACAGCAAUAGCAAUUUGCUCUCCAAGCGAUGUUUUCCUGCGAUAGAAUUUAGAAAUAUUGCAAUAUGCCAGGCUGUGUCUUUCUACUUUUCACUGACAGUUGCAACUCAACAAUAAUAUUGGUAUUUGCAGCGAGCGCUGUCCAAUUUGUGCACGCUGCCUUUCAGUCUGACUGUAGGCAAUGCGAUUUAAAUCAAUCCACAAUUUAUUUAUUUUUAAGGGGAAGCUAAUGAACCUCUGUGGCCAAGUCAUGCUUUAGUAGCCUAUUUAGAAUGAUUGUAGGCUAAUUAGGCUAUCAAUUUAGUUAGUGAAAGUUUAGCUUCCCCUCGCCUUAUGGAUGUGUCGCCUAUGAGCCUAUGUCAAUCUACUAUCCCCCAUAGUAGAAAAGGUUCCCUUUUAUAUUGGUCCGGUUGUCGAGAAGGAAAUAGCCCAAACGGACUCUGGGACAGUUGUGGGAAGAUCUAUCCCAAAUUCAUACAACCAGUAGGCCUAAGCUACAUAAUAAAAUGCUGCAUUAUGCAAAUUAACCUAUAGACCAAUAAGCAUGACCGGUCAAAUGUACAGUAUGUCCAUCAACUGGUAUUACCAUCAAUGAAUAGGCUAAAAAGCAUUAUUUCACAAUGUCUUUUUUUCUCUCCGAAAAUUGGCUGGUGCCAAUUUGAUUUAUCGGUGUUUCUACGUUUUUUAACAUCCAAAAGCUAGCUAUUACUGGCCAACGCAAACCCUGAUACACACGCAUAGAAACAUGCUGUACUAAUGAAUAUAUACAGUGCCUUGCGAAAGUAUUCGGCCCCCUUGAACUU
Oncorhynchus masou masou (cherry salmon) is the source of this 3027-nucleotide long non-coding RNA. RefSeq lists it as uncharacterized. The record is from RefSeq and is a predicted model, not a curated record. The transcript is spliced from 4 exons. NCBI's taxonomy places the organism in Eukaryota, Metazoa, Chordata, Actinopteri, Salmoniformes, Salmonidae.